Molecule: ribosomal RNA, 569 nt
Filed under: Bipolaris sorokiniana
Lineage: Eukaryota; Fungi; Ascomycota; Dothideomycetes; Pleosporales; Pleosporaceae
Description: eukaryotic LSU rRNA
Rfam family: 5.8S ribosomal RNA (bases 192-345)
Source: RNAcentral
GGCCUGCGGAGGGAUCAUUACACAACAAAAUAUGAAGGCCUGGCUUCGCGGCCGGCUGAAAUAUUUUUUUCACCCAUGUCUUUUGCGCACUUGUUGUUUCCUGGGCGGGUUCGCCCGCCACCAGGACCAAACCAUAAACCUUUUUUUUAUGCAGUUGCAAUCAGCGUCAGUAAAAACAAUGUAAUUAUUACAACUUUCAACAACGGAUCUCUUGGUUCUGGCAUCGAUGAAGAACGCAGCGAAAUGCGAUACGUAGUGUGAAUUGCAGAAUUCAGUGAAUCAUCGAAUCUUUGAACGCACAUUGCGCCCUUUGGUAUUCCAAAGGGCAUGCCUGUUCGAGCGUCAUUUGUACCUUCAAGCUUUGCUUGGUGUUGGGCGUUUUUUGUCUCCCUCUUUCUGGGAGACUCGCCUUAAAACGAUUGGCAGCCGGCCUACUGGUUUCGGAGCGCAGCACAUAUUUUGCGCUUUGUAUCAGGAGAAAAGGACGGUAAUCCAUCAAGACUCUACAUUUUUAACUUUUGACCUCGGAUCAGGUAGGGAUACCCGCUGAACUUAAGCAUAUCAAAGGC